UACGUAGGCAGCGAGCGUUGUUCGGAAUUACUGGGCGUAAAGAGCGUGUAGGCGGCUAGAUAGGUCCGUUGUGAAAACUCGAGGCUCAACCUCGAGACGCCGGUGGAAACCAUCUAGCUAGAGUCCGGAAGAGGAGAGUGGAAUUCCUGGUGUAGCGGUGAAAUGCGCAGAUAUCAGGAAGAACACCCGUGGCGAAGGCGGCUCUCUGGUACGUGACUGACGCUGAGACGCGAAAGCGUGGGGAGCGAACAGG
RNAcentral lists this ribosomal RNA (253 nucleotides) under uncultured bacterium. Its description in RNAcentral is "partial 16S ribosomal RNA". It matches the Rfam family "Bacterial small subunit ribosomal RNA", at positions 524 to 776 of the family's 1533-position model. The record is from RNAcentral.